GUGCUGACCUGAUGGUAUUCAACUGGAGCGGAAUAUCCAGAAACACAGUUUCUGACAUUCACAGUUUCCAAGAUUCUUCCAUUUAAAAGAAAAAGGGGAAACAAAGGGAAGCUGCAAGAGCAGUCAUGAGCCCCUCUUCAGCAGAGUGCGUCAUUUCCAGUGCCUGGAGCAGCCAGCAGAGAGACAUGCUCACCACAGUGGAACACCACUUUUGGGCUCAGGA
Gopherus evgoodei (Goodes thornscrub tortoise) is the source of this 223-nucleotide long non-coding RNA. RefSeq lists it as uncharacterized. The transcript is spliced from 3 exons. Lineage: Eukaryota; Metazoa; Chordata; Testudines; Testudinidae. The record is from RefSeq and is a predicted model, not a curated record.